GCUAUGCUUGUCAAGUGAGCAGUCUUUUGCGAGUUAACCUUUGCCUCGUUGUCUGUUCGACCUUGAACAUACAUAUG
RNAcentral lists this microRNA precursor (77 nucleotides) under Citrus sinensis (sweet orange). RNAcentral describes it as "miR858 stem-loop (csi-MIR858)". Its record names the gene csi-MIR858. The record is from miRBase by way of RNAcentral. Lineage: Eukaryota; Viridiplantae; Streptophyta; Magnoliopsida; Sapindales; Rutaceae.